Long non-coding RNA from Polypterus senegalus (gray bichir), 712 nucleotides. RefSeq lists it as uncharacterized. The record is from RefSeq and is a predicted model, not a curated record. The transcript has 3 exons. Lineage: Eukaryota; Metazoa; Chordata; Cladistia; Polypteriformes; Polypteridae.
UCCAAUUGUAUCCGACUGCAGGUCGCACACUCUGCUUUCCACGCCCACGACCUCCCACAGUCCGUAGAAAGAGAAGGAGAAGAGUGGCAGUACAGUUCUAGUUCCAAAAAGAAACGGAGCUUAAAGCUUUUUUUGACACGGAACAAUGGCACAACAUAAUCAAGUUUAGACUCUAUUGAGCCUUAAUGAAAAGCCAGAAGAUGAGUAAAGACUUGCACCACAUCUGAAGUGAAAAAAUGUCUUGCUAUUCUAUUACAUAGCACUGCUUUCAUGCAGGUGUUACAUUUUUUAGAUGAAACAUCAGCCUCCCUUCUUCAACAUCCUGCAUAAGGCACUGAUGAGCAGCAACACAGAAUCCUUCGUCAUCUUACCAAGGUAGAGAAGUGGUGUGCUGAGAAUCAGUCUGUGUUCAGGGAGCAAGUCUCACUCCCUUUAUUACUGUCAAUGGAGAAUGGUGUCAUUGAGGAGGCCCUUUAGAAAUCUGAUUUGCUAUCUGAAUUUCCAGAAUAAGAGGAGAAUGGAAUAUGUCCUUAGACCCUUCAUCAUCCUUUUUUCAUAUAUGGAAGACAUGCACCUGUUUUUAGAUAACAUGAGAGAAAAAAGGAAAAUCACCGUGUUUUGUGAGAAAAUGUAACAUAAACAUACAUGCCCCUCAUUGUUCAGUUACAACCUACAAUUCUUGUUCUAUAUUUUAUAUAUUAACUUUAUUGUA